RNAcentral lists this ribosomal RNA (253 nucleotides) under uncultured bacterium. RNAcentral describes it as "partial 16S ribosomal RNA". It matches the Rfam family "Bacterial small subunit ribosomal RNA", at positions 524 to 776 of the family's 1533-position model. The record is from RNAcentral.
UACGUAGGUGGCAAGCGUUGUCCGGAUUUACUGGGCGUAAAGAGCGCGCAGGCGGUCGUUCAAGUCGCGUGUGAAAGCCCCCGGCUCAACUGGGGAGGGUCACGCGAUACUGAUCGACUCGAAGGCAGGAGAGGGAAGUGGAAUUCCCGGUGUAGUGGUGGAAUGCGUAGAGAUCCGGAGGAACACCAGCGGCGAAGGCGGCGAACUGGACAGUAACUGACACUCAACUGCGAAAGCGUGGGGAGCAAACAGG